UACGUAGGUGGCGAGCGUUGUCCGGAUUUACUGGGCGUAAAGGGAGCGUAGGCGGAUUUUUAAGUGAGAUGUGAAAUACUCGGGCUCAGCUUGAGUGCUGCAUUUCAAACUGGAAGUCUAGAGUGCAGGAGAGGAGAAUGGAAUUCCUAGUGUAGCGGUGAAAUGCGUAGAGAUUAGGAAGAACACCAGUGGCGAAGGCGAUUCUCUGGACUGUAACUGACGCUGAGGCUCGAAAGCGUGGGGAGCAAACAGG
Molecule: ribosomal RNA, 253 nt
Filed under: uncultured bacterium
Lineage: Bacteria
Description: partial 16S ribosomal RNA
Rfam family: Bacterial small subunit ribosomal RNA
Source: RNAcentral